RNAcentral lists this ribosomal RNA (468 nucleotides) under uncultured microorganism. RNAcentral describes it as "bacterial SSU rRNA". It matches the Rfam family "Bacterial small subunit ribosomal RNA", at positions 9 to 477 of the family's 1533-position model. The record is from RNAcentral.
GAGUUUGAUCGUGGCUCAGGACGAACGCUGGCGGCGUGCCUAAUACAUGCAAGUCGAGCGGAUCUUCAUUAGCUUGCUUUUGAAGAUCAGCGGCGGACGGGUGAGUAACACGUGGGCAACCUGCCUGUAAGACUGGGAUAACUUCGGGAAACCGGAGCUAAUACCGGAUAAUCCUUUUCCUCUCAUGAGGAAAAGCUGAAAGACGGUUUCGGCUGUCACUUACAGAUGGGCCCGCGGCGCAUUAGCUAGUUGGUGAGGUAACGGCUCACCAAGGCGACGAUGCGUAGCCGACCUGAGAGGGUGAUCGGCCACACUGGGACUGAGACACGGCCCUGACUCCUACGGGAGGCAGCAGUAGGGAAUCUUCCGCAAUGGACGAAAGUCUGACGGAGCAACGCCGCGUGAGCGAUGAAGGCCUGGUCGUAAGCUCUGUGUCAGGGAAGACAAGUAUCGGAGUAACUGCCGGUA